GCAGUCUGCCGGUCUGCCGCUCAAUGCCUGCAUUGGGAGGAAAGUCCGGGCAACACAGGGCACCAUACUUCCUAACGGGAAGCUACCGGAAGGUAGAGUAACGUAACAGAAAAUAACCGUUCCGCCCCCCCCGGCGGAAUAAGGGUGAAAAGGCGAGGUAAAAGCUCACCGGGUGUUAUAGCGAUAUAAUAUGCCGUACGUCUUAUGGGUUGUAAGGUCAUGUAUACCGGCGCAUGUAGGGCGGCUCGUCCGAUGCCGGGGGGUAGACCGCUAAAGCCUGCCGGCAACGACAGGACAAGAUAAAUGGCAGACACGCAUGGUCAUUCAUGCGUACAGAACCCGGCUUACAGGCAGACUGCAUUU
RNAcentral lists this RNase P RNA (363 nucleotides) under Tannerellaceae bacterium. RNAcentral describes it as "RNase P RNA component class A". It matches the Rfam family "Bacterial RNase P class A". Rfam says of the family: Ribonuclease P (RNase P) is a ubiquitous endoribonuclease, found in archaea, bacteria and eukarya as well as chloroplasts and mitochondria. Its best characterised activity is the generation of mature 5'-ends of tRNAs by cleaving the 5'-leader elements of precursor-tRNAs. Lineage: Bacteria; Pseudomonadati; Bacteroidota; Bacteroidia; Bacteroidales; Tannerellaceae. The record is from RNAcentral.